This 376-nucleotide unclassified non-coding RNA is filed under the name uncultured fungus. Its description in RNAcentral is "partial contains 5.8S ribosomal RNA, internal transcribed spacer 2, and large subunit ribosomal RNA". The stretch from base 1 to 52 matches the Rfam family "5.8S ribosomal RNA", at positions 103 to 154 of the family's 154-position model. Lineage: Eukaryota; Fungi. The record is from RNAcentral.
AACGCACCUUGCGCCCCUUGGUAUUCCGAGGGGCAUGCCUGUUUGAGUGUCAUUAAAUUCUCAACCUCACAAGUUUUGUAGCUUCUGAGGCUUGGAUUGUGGAGGCUUGCUGGCAUCUAAGAUGCAUUUGGCUCCUCUUAAAAGCAUUAGUAGAAACCAAUUGUUGGACUACCUUUGGUGUGAUAAUUAUCUACGCCUUGGUGUUCUAUCUGACAAAAGGGUCUCUUUGGUUGGGAUAGUUGCAAACGAGAGUUUGCUCUGUCUGUUUUAACUGUCAAAAGAGGCUUUGGGGUGUCUGCUCUCUAACUGUCUGUUUGACGGACAACUAAUUGAUUUGUUUGACCUCAAAUCAGGUAGGACUACCCGCUGAACUUAA